Molecule: long non-coding RNA, 305 nt
Filed under: Coffea arabica (coffee)
Lineage: Eukaryota; Viridiplantae; Streptophyta; Magnoliopsida; Gentianales; Rubiaceae
Description: long non-coding RNA (CARA_LNC004646)
Source: RNAcentral
CCUUUUCUACCAUCACCUCAGCUUUUACUACCACCAGCACCCUCCGAUGCCCGCCGCCACUUUCCUAUCUCUUUCCCUCUUCCUCGUCCCCGCCACCCUUCUUCCCACCACCUUCUUUCCUCUCUUCCCCGUCCCUUGCCACCCCCUUUGGUCUCCCUUCCCCCUACCAUCCUAGAUUUGGCCUUGCGACUAGAUCUGGUCAUGAAAAGGAGGGGAGGCUCCUACCCCAAAUCUGGUUGACCAAAUUUGAUUACAUGAACAAAAGAUCUGUAUGUGCGACCAAAUCUAGUCGUAAGGGGGAAGGG